This 1490-nucleotide ribosomal RNA is filed under the name uncultured Bordetella sp. RNAcentral's name for it is "partial 16S-23S ribosomal RNA intergenic spacer". It matches the Rfam family "Bacterial small subunit ribosomal RNA". The record is from RNAcentral. Lineage: Bacteria; Pseudomonadati; Pseudomonadota; Betaproteobacteria; Burkholderiales; Alcaligenaceae.
AGUUCGAUUCUGGCUCAGAUUGAACGCUGGCGGGGAUGCUUUACAUGCAAGUCGAACGGCAGCACGGACUUCGGUCUUGGUGGUAAGGUGCGGUGAACGGGUGAUAAUGUAUCGGAACGUCGGUAGCGGGGGAUAACUACGCCGGAAAGGAAGCAUAUCAAAAAGGUCAGCCCUUUCGGGGGAAAGCGGGGGACCUUCGGGCCUCGCACUAUUAGAGCGGCCGAUAUCGGAUUAGCUAGUUGGUGGGGCAACGGCUCACCAUGACGAUCCGGUAGCUGGUUUGAGAGGACGACCGUCCAGUCACACUGGGACUGAGACACGGCCCAGACUCCUACGGAGGCAGCAGUGGGGAAUUUUGGAUAAUGGGGAACUCCUGAUCCAGCCAUCCCGCGUGUGCGAGCGAAGGCCUUCGCCAGGUACACCUCUGGCAGGAGUGAAACGGUACGGGAUAAUACCUGUGCAACUGACGGUACUCUGCAGAAUAAGCACUCGGCUAACUAUUUUCGUGCCAGCAGCUGCGGUAAUACGUAGGGUGCAAGCGUUAAUCGGAAUUACUGGGCGUAAAGCGUGCGCAGGCGGUUCGGAAAGAAAGAUGAAAUCCCAGAGCUUAACUUUGAACUGCAUUUUUAACUACCGAGCUAGAGUGUGUCAGAGGGAGGUGGAAUUCCGCGUGUAGCAGGAAUGCGUAGAUAUGCGGAGGAACACCGAUGGCGAAGGCAGCCUCCUGGGAUAACACUGACGCUCAUGCACGAAAGCGUGGGGAGCAAACAGAUUAGAUACCCUGGUAGUCCACGCCCUAAACGAUGUCAACUAGCUGUUGGGGCCUUCGGGCCUUGGUAGCGCAGCGCUAACGCGUGAAGUUGACCGCCUGGGGAGUACGGUCGCAAGAUUAAAACUCAAAGGAAUUGACGGGGACCCGCACAAGCGGUGGAUGAUGUGGAUUAAUUCCAUGCAACGCGAAAAACCUUACCUACCCUUGACAUGUCUGGAACCUGAAGAGAUUCGGGAGUGCUCGCAAGAGAACCGGAACACAGGUGCUGCAUGGCUGUCGUCAGCUCGUGUCGUGAGAUGUUGGGUUAAGUCUCAGCAACGAGCGCAACCCUUGUCAUUAGUUGCUACGAAAGGGCACUCUAAUGAGACUGCCGGUGACAAACCGGAGGAAGGUGGGGAUGACGUCAAGUCCUCAUGGCCCUUAUGGGUAGGGCUUCACACGUCAUACAAUGGUCGGGACAGAGGGUCGCCAACCUGCGAGGGGGAGCCAUCCCAGAAACCUGACCGGUAGUCCGGAUCGCAGUCUGCAACUCGACUGCGUGAAGUCGGAAUCGCUAGUAAUCGCGGAUCAGCAUGUCGCGGUGAAUACGUUCCCGGGUCUUGUACACACCGCCUGUCACACCAUGGGAGUGGGUUUUACCAGAAGUAGUUAGCCUAACCGUAAGGAGGGCGAUUACCACGGUAGGAUUCAUGACUGGGGUGAAGUCGUAACAAGGUAG